Molecule: long non-coding RNA, 247 nt
Filed under: Numida meleagris (helmeted guineafowl)
Lineage: Eukaryota; Metazoa; Chordata; Aves; Galliformes; Numididae
Description: lncRNA (ENSNMEG00000008873.1)
Source: RNAcentral
CUAUUGAGGAGAGAUACAGGAGAGAACUCAGGUACACGUAUGAAUUUCAGAUCUCCACUGACAGCGUAAUGGGAACAUAGACAACUAUACUUGCAGAAACCUGCAGAGACUCAGUUACAUCCACUUGGGAUGCAAAUGCUGGAUGAAGUAAUCGUAUUUUCUUGCUGGAACAGAAGGGAAUGAAAAUGGCAGAAUGAUCAUUCAAUAUGGUAACAAAGCUCAAAGCAGUUGGGAGUGAAAGUGACUG